CCUACGGGAUGCAGCAGUGGGGAAUAUUGCACACUGGGGGAAACCCUGAUGCAGCGACGCCGCGUGGGUGACGAAGUAUUUCGGUAUGUAAAGCGCUAUCAUCAGUGAGGAAUAUGACAGUAACUGACUAAGAAGCCCCGGCUAACUACGUGCCAGCAGCCGCGGUAAUACGUAGGGGGCAAGCGUUAUCCGGAUUAACUGGGUGUAAAGGGAGCGUAGGUUGCAUGGCAAGCUAGUAGUGAAAACCCGGGGCUUAACCCCGCAGAUUACUUUUGGAAAUGUAAGGCUCGAGUGCAGGAGGGGCAGGUGGAAUUCCUGGUGUAGGGGUGAAAUGCGUAGAUAUUAGGAGGAACACCGGUGGCGAAGGCGGCCUGCUGGAAUGUAACUGACACUGAGGCUCGAAAGCGUAGGGAGCAAACAGGAUUAGAUACCCCAGUAGUC
RNAcentral lists this ribosomal RNA (441 nucleotides) under uncultured bacterium. RNAcentral's name for it is "partial 16S ribosomal RNA". It matches the Rfam family "Bacterial small subunit ribosomal RNA", at positions 338 to 795 of the family's 1533-position model. The record is from RNAcentral.